Molecule: long non-coding RNA, 505 nt
Organism: Melopsittacus undulatus (budgerigar)
Lineage: Eukaryota; Metazoa; Chordata; Aves; Psittaciformes; Psittaculidae
Exons: 3
Source: RefSeq, a predicted model, not a curated record
UCCCCCCGCCCCGGGCAGGGCGGGCUGCGGCUCCCGGGCCGCCGCCUCUCCCCCGAGUGCAACACCAGCCCCUCCGCCGCUGCCAGGGCGAUGGUGGUGAUCCUGCCUAAAGAGAGGGAGCGGAAUGACCUGCCUGCAGACAAAUGCGUGAAGCGGACGUCCCUCGGCCGCUGGAAUAUCGCUGUCUGUCCUUACAUAUAAAGAAGCACCGCGAGCCACCUCACUCCUCCAGGCAAGCCCUUAGCAAAGGAGCGACGAGAGCGCCCGGCGGAAUCCGCAGCGGCAGCAAGGGCACCGGGAGGGCUUCCCUCCUUCCCCGCGGUGACUCUCCAGGUGGGCCCCUCUUCUGAUAUGUGAUCUACAGCGAGCUACUCUGAAUCGUACGAUGACAAUGUUAUCACUGCCACAUCUCUGGGAACCAGUUAUUCAUAAGUAUACGGACUGUCUACUUACGAAGCUGAGAGUGAGGUAAAAACUUUGAUGAAGCCUCUGUUGUGUGAGGUGG